AGCUGAAGGUACUGUACGAAUAAGCACCGGCUAACUCCGUGCCAGCAGCCGCGGUAAUACGGAGGGUGCAAGCGUUAUCCGGAUUUAUUGGGUUUAAAGGGUCCGUAGGCGGACUUGUAAGUCAGUGGUGAAAUCUCAUAGCUUAACUAUGAAACUGCCAUUGAUACUGCAGGUCUUGAGUAAAUUUGAAGUGGCUGGAAUAAGUAGUGUAGCGGUGAAAUGCAUAGAUAUUACUUAGAACACCAAUUGCGAAGGCAGGUCACUAAGAUUUAACUGACGCUGAUGGACGAAAGCGUGGGGAGCGAACAGGAUUAGAUACCCUGGUAGUCCACGCCGUAAACGAUGCUAACUCGUUUUUGGAUUUUCGGAUUCAGAGACCAAGCGAAAGUGAUAAGUUAGCCACCUGGGGAGUACGUCCGCAAGGAUGAAACUCAAAGGAAUUGACGGGGGCCCGCACAAGCGGUGGAUUAUGUGGUUUAAUUCGAUGAUACGCGAGGAACCUUACCAAGACUUAAAUGGGAAUUGACAGGUCUAGAAAUAGACCCUCCUUCGGGCAAUUUCCAAGGUGCUGCAUGGUUGUCGUCAGCUCGUGCCGUGAGGUGUUAGGUUAAGUCCUGCAACGAGCGCAACCCCUGUCACUAGUUGCCAUCAUUCAGUUGGGGACUCUAGUGAGACUGCCUACGCAAGUAGAGAGGAAGGUGGGGAUGACGUCAAAUCAUCACGGCCCUUACGUCUUGGGCCACACACGUAAUACAAUGGCCGGUACAGAGGGCAGCUACCUAGCGAUAGGAUGCAAAUCUCGAAAGCCGGUCUCAGUUCGGAUUGGAGUCUGCAACUCGACUCUAUGAAGCUGGAAUCGCUAGUAAUCGCGCAUCAGCCAUGGCGCGGUGAAUACGUUCCCGGGCCUUGUACACACCGCCCGUCAAGCCAUGGAAGUCUGGGGUACCUGAAGUCGGUGACCGUAAAAGGAGCUGCCUAGGGUAAAACAGGUAACUAGGGCUAAGUCGUAACAAGGUAGCCGUACCGGAAGGUGCGGCUGGAACAUCUCAUU
This 1051-nucleotide ribosomal RNA is filed under the name Chryseobacterium manosquense. RNAcentral's name for it is "16S ribosomal RNA". It matches the Rfam family "Bacterial small subunit ribosomal RNA", at positions 467 to 1533 of the family's 1533-position model. The record is from RNAcentral. Lineage: Bacteria; Pseudomonadati; Bacteroidota; Flavobacteriia; Flavobacteriales; Weeksellaceae.